ACUCCUACGGGAGGCAGCAGUGGGGAAUAUUGCACAAUGGGGAAAGCCCAUCGAUGCAGCCAUGCCGCGUGUGUGAAGAAGGCCAAUUCGGGGCUUUGGUUAAAGACACUUUUCAGCGAGGAGGAAAGGGUGUGUGCUAAUACCAUACAUCUGUGACGUUACUCGCAGAAGAAGCACCGGCUAACUCCGUGCCAGCAGCCGCGGUAAUACGGAGGGUGCGAGCGUUAAUCGGAAUUACUGGGCGUAAAGCGUGCGCAGGCGGUUUGUUAAGCGAGAUGUGAAAGCCCGC
Molecule: ribosomal RNA, 289 nt
Filed under: uncultured bacterium
Lineage: Bacteria
Description: partial 16S ribosomal RNA
Rfam family: Bacterial small subunit ribosomal RNA
Source: RNAcentral